Molecule: long non-coding RNA, 791 nt
Filed under: Vulpes vulpes (red fox)
Lineage: Eukaryota; Metazoa; Chordata; Mammalia; Carnivora; Canidae
Description: lncRNA (ENSVVUG00000030222.1)
Source: RNAcentral
UGGAGGAGCUUUCUGACACACACCUCAUGCUGAGUCUACUUGCUGUUUUCCACUCGCUUCUCUACAAUUUCCACCCCUCCAACCACAUCCUUUCAGAAACUCUAAAAAGAGGAAACUGAAGAGGAGAAAGAAAAAUGUUCACAAUAUACUUGGCUUCAUUUAAUUUUUAAAGCUGAAAGUAAUGAAGAUGUCCUACUGCAUGUCCUGUCAUUGUCUUCUACAGCUCUACUCAGACAUUUUCCCAGGAUGACCAGUGGAGUACCAGCGGAGGGUGUAACUGCAGAGCCUAAGGAAGCUCCAUUCAAUCAACACUCAUGGUGCUAAAAAAACAAAAAACAAAAAACAAAAACAAAAACAAAAAAACACACUCAUGGUGCUAAUGUCCUCCACCAUCCUCUGAAGCCCAUGGUGAAAAUGCACCACUCCUUCCUAGCAGUCAGCUCUGCGAUGCACGGAGACCUUACCUCUGCGUGUCUCUGCUAACUCUCAUUAAUUUUUCUGAAAAUGCAGGACAGCUGUGACUCAGCAAAAUUUCUUGACGGACAGCUUUUGUCUCCCUUAGCAACUUCCCUCUAGCCUUCCAGAUUCUUGUCUUUUGAGCUAUACCUUGCCAGAAAGUUAGAGGGUUCAAUACCAGAAUCUUCUAAUUUCUUACUUAAGAAUAUCAGCAAGUGUGAGCUUGAAAAUGAAGUCUCUACAUUGAAAAAAUUCAUUUUGAGGUUAAAAUGAAAUAUUCAAAAAUCUCAAAGAGGGUCCCCCUCAAAACCAAUAAAUGCUUAAAUAAACACGAU